GCUGAAUCACAGGAAGACAAGGGAGUGGCUGAAUUGAGAGAUCAUGAGUCACUAAGAGAUAUGAGUGACUGUGGGGUGGAAGUAAAAUACGAAAAGCUGCAAAGAGAUUAUGAGCGCCAAAGUAAGGAAUUAACAGAGAUGAGGAGAGCCUUUGAAGGGCUUAAGAGGGAGAACCAACUUAAGAGUAAAGAGUGUCAAGAAGCAUGCAAAUCUUUACAGGAGCUUCAAAAUGAGCUUAUGCGCAAAUCAAUGCAUGUUGGAACAAAUGAACUUAAGAGUAAGGAAUUAACUGCCUAACACUUGCUUGCAUAUGGAACAAAUGCUGUUAUAUCCAUUUGUAGCCUUUGCAAUUGAGGGACAAGUGAAAGAGAAGAGCAGAUGGUUCUCAUCAUUGAGGGACCUGACCAGAAAAUUGAAGAUAAUGAAAAUGGAACACAUCAAGCUAUCAGAGGAGGUAUCCAUGUAUAAUAAUUGCUUCAAGGAUAUCAAUGAAAUUGGCUCUUCAAUUCUGUCCAGAAUAAACCAGCAAGCAGAUUUGCAUGAAGAUCUCAAGAUUAAAUUUCUCAGAGGGGCCAAAGAAAGGAAAGAACUCUACAACAUGGUUCUAGAAUUGUUAGCCACAUUCAAUAUUCCAUAUUAAAAUCUGAAAUAGGUUGAAAAUUUUGAAACUUAAAAUUUUCAUUUCUUGCAGGAAACAUAAGAGUCUUUUGCCGGUGUAGGCCUCUAAAUUCUGAAGAAAUAGCAGCAGGAGCUUCAAUGGCUGUUGAUUUUGAAUCCGCGACAGAUGGUGAACGCACUGUACUAUCAAAUGGUGCUCCUAGAAAACCGUUAAGUUUGAUGCUGUUUUUGGCCCUCAAAAGACCAAGCUGAUGUUUUCCAAGACAGGGCUCCAUUGGCUACCUCAGUUCUAGAUGGCUACAAUGUCUGCAUUUUUGCUUAUGGACAGAUAGGGACAGGAAAACCUUUUACAAUGGAGGGUACAAAAGAAGCCCGUGGAGUAAAUUUUAGGACUCUUGAGGAAUUGUUUCGCAUAAUUAAUGAGUGGCAGAAGUUAUAUCGAUAUGAGAUAUCAGUCAGUGUCUUAGAAGUAUACAAUGAACAGAUAAGAGAUUUACUGGUUUCAGGCUCUCAGCAAGGCUCGGAGCCAAAAUGGCGGGGCUUGAAAUAGGGCAAGUGGGUGAAGGAAUGCAUCAUGUCCCAGGGCUUGUUGAAGCACAUGUAAACAACAUGAAUGAGGUCUGGGAAGUCCUCCAGACUGGCAGUGAUGCAAAGGCUGUUGGCUCAACCAAUGCCAAUGAGCAUAGCAGUAGAUCCCACUGCAUACAUUGUUGAAUGGGGAAUGCACAAAGAGCAAGCUAUGAUUGGUGGACCCAGCUGGAAGUGAACGAGUAGCAAAAACAGAAGUGCAUGGAGAAAGGCUCAAGGAAACUCAAAAUAUUAACAGAUGUCGUAUCUGCUCUUGCUACUAAAAGCCCUCACAUUCCUUUCAAGUUAUAAAAAUACAGAGAUGAGUACUUCUAAAUUAGUAAGAACAUAGAAAUCAGUAGUGUCUCAUAGGUUUUAAACUUAACUGUACUUUAAUCAUGCAGGAAUUCAAAGCUUACACGCUUGCUUCAAGACUCUCUAGUUUGUUAGGGGGAGAUUCAAAGACACUCAUGUUUGUACAAAGCAGUCGUCAGGAGAAUGACCUUGGUGAGACCCUAUGCUCUCUGAACUUUGCAAAUAGAGUGAGAGGGAUAGAGUUGGGUCCGGCAAAGAAGCAAAUGGACUGCUCAGAACUUCUGGGAUGCAAACAGAUGGUACAACCAGCAACUUAUUGGCAACAUUUCUUAAGCCUAAUAUAUCAUUUUGAUGUUACCAAUGACAAUUCUUGUCUGGACGUAAAAGGUGGAGAAAUCAAAGUCUCAGUUGAAUCAGACUCCGACUUUUACUUCUUUGUUUAAUGCCUUUAAUUAACCUUGUAAAACACUAUAUCAUUGUUAAUACAAAGGCAGGGAAAGUGUGAUUGAGAAAGGGCUUGGCCCUUACCACAGUA
This is a non-coding RNA of Theobroma cacao (cacao), 2035 nucleotides long. Lineage: Eukaryota; Viridiplantae; Streptophyta; Magnoliopsida; Malvales; Malvaceae. The record is from RefSeq and is a predicted model, not a curated record.